This 468-nucleotide ribosomal RNA is filed under the name uncultured bacterium. RNAcentral describes it as "partial 16S ribosomal RNA". It matches the Rfam family "Bacterial small subunit ribosomal RNA", at positions 28 to 507 of the family's 1533-position model. The record is from RNAcentral.
GACGAACGCUGGCGGCGUGCUUAACACAUGCAAGUCGAACGGAAGGGCCCUGCUUUUGUGGGGUGCUCGAGUGGCGAACGGGUGAGUAACACGUGAGUAACCUGCCCUUGACUGUGUGAUAACUCCAGGGAACUGGGGCUAAUACCAGAUAUGAGCUCCUGCUGCAUGGUGGGGGUUGGAAAGUGUCGGCGGUGGUGGAUGGACUCGCUGCUUAUCCGCUUGUUUGGCGGGUAGUGGCUUACCAAGGCUUUGACGGGUAGCCGGCCUGAGAGGGUGACCGGCGACAUUGGGACUGAGAUACGCACCAGAAUGCUAUGGGAGGCAACAGUCGAGAGUAUUGCAGAAUGGGCGGAAGCGUGAUGCAGAGACGCUGCGUGCGGGAUGACGGCCUUCGAGUUGUAAACCGAUUUCGACUGUGACGAAGCGUGCGUGACGGUAAUGGGUAAAGAAGCAACGGCUAACUACGUG